RNAcentral lists this ribosomal RNA (468 nucleotides) under uncultured bacterium. Its description in RNAcentral is "partial 16S ribosomal RNA". It matches the Rfam family "Bacterial small subunit ribosomal RNA", at positions 28 to 507 of the family's 1533-position model. The record is from RNAcentral.
GACGAACGCUGGCGGCGUGCUUAACACAUGCAAGUCGAACGGAAAGGCCCUGCUUUUGUGGGGUGCUCGAGUGGCGAACGGGUGAGUAACACGUGAGUAACCUGCCCUUGACUUUGGGAUAACUUCAGGAAACUGGGGCUAAUACCGGAUAGGAGCUCCUGCUGCAUGGUGGGGGUUGGAAAGUUUCGGCGGUUGGGGAUGGACUCGCGGCUUAUCAGCUUGUUGGUGGGGUGGUGGCUUACCAAGGCUUUGACGGGUAGCCGGCCGGAGAGGGUGACCGGCCACAUGGGGACUGAGAUCCGCCCCAGACUCCUACGGGAGGCAGCAGGGGGGAAUAUUGCACAAUGGGCGGAAGCCUGAUGCAGCAACGCCGCGUGCGGGAUGACGGCCUUCGGUUUUUAAACCGCUUUCGCCUGUGACGAAGCGUGAGUGACGGUAAUGGGUAAAGAAGCACCGGCUAACUACGUG